ACUCCUACGGGAGGCAGCAGUGGGGGAAUAUUGCACAAUGGGCGCAAGCCUGAUGCAGCCAUGCCGCGUGUAUGAAGAAGGCCUUCGGGUUGUAAAGUACUUUCAGCAGUGAGGAAGGUGGAUAUGUUAAUAGCAUAUUCAUUUGACGUUAGCUGCAGAAGAAGCACCGGCUAACUCCGUGCCAGCAGCCGCGGUAAUACGGAGGGUGCGAGCGUUAAUCGGAAUUACUGGGCGUAAAGCGCAUGCAGGUGGUUUGUUAAGUCAGAUGUGAAAGCCCGGGGCUCAACCUCGGAAUUGCAUUUGAAACUGGCAAACUAGAGUACUGUAGAGGGGGGUAGAAUUUCAGGUGUAGCGGUGAAAUGCGUAGAGAUCUGAAGGAUACCGGUGGCGAAGGCGGCCCCCUGGACAGAUACUGACACUCAGAUGCGAAAGCGUGGGGAGCAAACAGGAUUAGAUACCCUGGUAGGACGUCUGC
This 475-nucleotide ribosomal RNA is filed under the name uncultured bacterium. Its description in RNAcentral is "bacterial SSU rRNA". It matches the Rfam family "Bacterial small subunit ribosomal RNA", at positions 335 to 798 of the family's 1533-position model. The record is from RNAcentral.